This 409-nucleotide ribosomal RNA is filed under the name uncultured microorganism. RNAcentral describes it as "bacterial SSU rRNA". It matches the Rfam family "Archaeal small subunit ribosomal RNA", at positions 330 to 745 of the family's 1478-position model. The record is from RNAcentral.
GUGCACCAGUCGAGAAUACUUUACAAUGUGCGAAAGCACGAUAAGGGAACUCUGAGUGCCUCCUAAGGAGGCUGUUCAGGUGUCUAAAAGCACCUGAAGGAAGGGCUGGGUAAGACCGGUGCCAGCCGCCGCGGUAACACCGGCAGCCCAAGUGGUAGCCACGUUUAUUGGGUCUAAAGCGUCCGUAGCCGGCUGGGUAAGUUCCUUGGGAAAUUUGGCUGCUUAACAGUCAAGCUUUCAGGGAAUACUGCCCGGCUUGGGACCGGGAGAGGUCAGAGGUACUCCAGGGGUAGGGGUGAAAUCCAUUAAUCCUUGGGGGACCACCGGUAGCGAAGGCGUCUGACCAGACCGGGUCCGACGGUGAGGGACGAAGGCUAGGGGCGCGAACCGGAUUAGAUACCCGCGUAGU